UACGUAGGGUGCAAGCGUUGUCCGGAAUUAUUGGGCGUAAAGAGCUCGUAGGCGGUUUGUUGCGUCGGCUGUGAAAUCCCGAGGCUCAACCUCGGGUCUGCAGUCGAUACGAGCAAACUAGAGUGUUGCAGGGGAGCCUGGAAUUCCUGGUGUAGCGGUGAAAUGCGUAGAUAUCUGGAGGAACACCGGUGGCGAAGGCGGCAUCCUGGACCGAUAUUGACGCGUGAGACGCGAAAGCGUGGGGAGCAACAGG
Molecule: ribosomal RNA, 253 nt
Filed under: uncultured bacterium
Lineage: Bacteria
Description: partial 16S ribosomal RNA
Rfam family: Bacterial small subunit ribosomal RNA
Source: RNAcentral